RNAcentral lists this ribosomal RNA (305 nucleotides) under uncultured bacterium. RNAcentral describes it as "bacterial SSU rRNA". It matches the Rfam family "Bacterial small subunit ribosomal RNA", at positions 333 to 653 of the family's 1533-position model. The record is from RNAcentral.
AUUGCCCUACGGGAGGCAGCAGUGGGGAAUAUUGGGCAAUGGGCGCAAGCCUGACCCAGCAACGCCGCGUGAAGGAAGAAGGCUUUCGGGUUGUAAACUUCUUUUAAGAGGGAAGAGUAGAAGACGGUACCUCUUGAAUAAGCCACGGCUAACUACGUGCCAGCAGCCGCGGUAAUACGUAGGGGGCAAGCGUUAUCCGGAUUUACUGGGUGCAAAGGGGGCGCAGACGGCGAUGCAAGCCAGGAGUGAAAGCCCGGGGCCCAACCCCGGGACUGCUCUUGGAACUGCGUGGCUAGAGUGCAGGG